CAGCCGCCGCGGGAACACGUAGGGUGCAAGCGUUAAUCGGAAUUACUGGGCGUAAAGCGUGCGCAGGCGGUUAUAUAAGACAGAUGUGAAAUCCCCGGGCUCAACCUGGGAACUGCAUUUGUGACUGUAUAGCUAGAGUACGGCAGAGGGGGAUGGAAUUCCGCGUGUAGCAGUGAAAUGCGUAGAUAUGCGGAGGAACACCGAUGGCGAAGGCAAUCCCCUGGGCCUGUACUGACGCUCAUGCACGAAAGCGUGGGGAGCAAACAGGAUUAGAUACCCCUGUAGUCCCUGCCUCUUAUAC
RNAcentral lists this ribosomal RNA (301 nucleotides) under uncultured bacterium. Its description in RNAcentral is "partial 16S ribosomal RNA". It matches the Rfam family "Bacterial small subunit ribosomal RNA", at positions 509 to 807 of the family's 1533-position model. The record is from RNAcentral.